CCUACGGGGCUCAGCAGUGGGGUAUAUUGGGCAAUGGAGGAAACUCUGACACAGCAACGCCGCGUGAAGGAUGAAGGUUUUCGGAUUGUACACUUCUGUCGCGAGGGAUGAAGAAUGACGGUACCUCGUAAGAAAGCCCCGGCAAACUACGUGCCAGCAGCCGCGGUAAUACGUAGGGGGCGAGCGUUGUCCGGAAUGACUGGGCGUAAAGGGAGUGUAGGCGGCAUAUUAAGUUAUGUGUGAAAGCCCGCGGCUCAACCGCGGAAUUGCACAUAAAACUGGUAAGCUGGAGUGCAGGAGAGGUAAGUGGAAUUCCCGGUGUAGCGGUGGAAUCCGUAGAUAUCUGGAGGAACAUCAGUGGCGAAGGCGACUAUCUGGCACAUAACUGACGCUGAGGAGCGAAAGCGUGGGUAGCAAACAGGAUUAGAUACCCCUGUAGUC
This 441-nucleotide ribosomal RNA is filed under the name uncultured bacterium. RNAcentral describes it as "partial 16S ribosomal RNA". It matches the Rfam family "Bacterial small subunit ribosomal RNA", at positions 338 to 795 of the family's 1533-position model. The record is from RNAcentral.